AGUGAACGCUGGCGGUAGGCCUAACACAUGCAAGUCGAACGGCAGCACAGUAAGAGCUUGCUCUUACGGGUGGCGAGUGGCGGACGGGUGAGGAAUACAUCGGAAUCUACUUUUUCGUGGGGGAUAACGUAGGGAAACUUACGCUAAUACCGCAUACGACCUACGGGUGAAAGCAGGGGAUCUUCGGACCUUGCGCGAUUGAAUGAGCCGAUGUCGGAUUAGCUAGUUGGCGGGGUAAAGGCCCACCAAGGCGACGAUCCGUAGCUGGUCUGAGAGGAUGAUCAGCCACACUGGAACUGAGACACGGUCCAGGCUCCUACGGGAGGCAGCAGUGGGGAAUAUUGGACAAUGGGCGCAAGCCUGAUCCAGCCAUACCGCGUGGGUGAAGAAGGCCUUCGGGUUGUAAAGCCCUUUGUUGGGAAAGAAAAGCAGCAGGUUAAUACCCCGCUGUUCUGACGGUACCCAAAGAAUAAGCACCGGCUAACUUCGUG
Molecule: ribosomal RNA, 491 nt
Filed under: uncultured bacterium
Lineage: Bacteria
Description: partial 16S ribosomal RNA
Rfam family: Bacterial small subunit ribosomal RNA
Source: RNAcentral